CAACCGACUCAGAUCACAAAACUAAUCCAUUAAGACGACUGAAAGGAAUCGAACUUGCAGGACUCUGCACAAAACAAAAUCUAAACCUAAGAACUCUGAAGGGUUGUUGCUGAACAAUACAUCCUUAUUUAUAUUUAAUAUUUUACUAACAACUUUCGCUGCAGAAUUUUUGAACCGUUACAACAAUCAAACGAGACUAUCAUGAUCCCUCAAUACGGCAGACAAACUAGCAGGAAUACGAAGACUGAAAUUGUUGGUCGAAUCAUUUAUGGCACUUUUCGUGUCAAGCUGAAUUAAAAAUGAAAAAUCUAAACGACUCGAAAACUGAAGGAAAAGCUGAUACACAGCAGACUAAAAUACCGUCACUCUUCAAAUUGUACCUAUUGAUUUAUACUGAUUGUUCCAUGCAGUCAUGGAAAACGGGAUUGGAAUCAUUUUGCGACCAUUCACUUUCAUCACCGUCGAACUCAUCAGAAACUACACACACCAUCAUCGUCAGAAUCACUAAUUACUCAUCUCUGCACAUUUCGAAAUCGUCUUUCUAUGAUAUCACUUCCACUGUCCGACGAUUUAUUAUCACUGUUACUUAACGAUACUUAAUAUCAAAGUUACUAUAGUUAUAAUUAUCUAUGCCCGACAAUAGAUCUGCGUAUAUUUCCUCGUCAUUAUGAGAUGUUGUAUAGGGAAACAGUAUUAUCGAGACAGCAUAUAUUUUACAAUUAUAAAAUGUUUCGUGAAAUGAAAAUCAGCUGAUCUUAGUUAUUACGUUCGGGAAGCAGCGAACUGUUUUUAGCGAAUUUACCUAAAAUGAGUUAUGGAAAUAGCGCCACAUACGAGUAAUGCGGUUCGACGACAGAUAGCAGAGUAAAGUCACGACUACGUGACACCAGACGACAACCGCCAGCUGUCAUAGGUGAAUGGAGUAUUAUUAAUUGUUGGGUUUUAAUAGCACAGCGCACACAUUCGUACGAAGGAAAAGAAAAUUUAUAUUAUAUAUGAAAAGUAUAUAUUAUAGGUAAAUAAGAACUAUAAUCUAACUUUAACUCGUUAACUAUUGGACGUAUCAAAAAAACGAUUUAAACUACUUAUGUUACAUUCGGAGAAACUCAUUUGUUUUGCGCCAAUUUGUUUAUUUUGUUAUUGACGAAAGGUUGUACGUAGGUGUGGAUGUUGAUGUUUCUAAUUGGUGGAAAGUGUGCUAAUUUAAAUUACAUUGUAAUUUGUUUACAUUAUACUACAAUUUCGUAGUAAUUCAAUUAGCUGUAAUUACAAUAUCGUAAUGAUCCUCUCUAAGAGCAUUUUCUCAUCUUGAAGGUUCAUAAGGUCCUCGAACGUUUUCCAUUGUUUGAUGUUUAGGAUCAACCCUAUAAGCAACAUCUAUAUGUUUAUACAUAAAUAUCCAUAAUAUUUACCCUGAACGUUCGCGUGUGUCGUAUACGUUAAACGAUAAUGUCAUAAAUUAUUCUUUGACAACAGUACCGUACCUCAUAUUUGACAUCUUAGAUAACAAAGAGAAGUGAUAUUUCCUAAACAU
This 1534-nucleotide unclassified non-coding RNA is filed under the name Bombus terrestris (buff-tailed bumblebee). Its description in RNAcentral is "misc RNA ENSBTSG00005034419.1". The record is from RNAcentral. Lineage: Eukaryota; Metazoa; Arthropoda; Insecta; Hymenoptera; Apidae.